AUGCAAAAAAUCCAAAAUGAGCCCUACAAGGAUUAUUCAUUAUAUCGGGGCUUCCAUAGACUCCACCCGAGCUCGUAUAGUCCUCCCACUCGACAAACAACAAAACUUCAUCUCCCUCCUCCAAGGUUUCACCCCCACGCUUUGGUUCCUGCCAUCCUCGUCCAAUGUGUACUAGGCACCAUGGCCUCCAUGACCUCAGUCUUACAACACGUACGCCUGAAGAUGAGGUCUCUACAAUUGUGGUUUCUCACACUUUUCGACCCACUGACAGAUCCUCCCAACACUCUUUUAAGAGUUACUCCCGAAUUUGCCUCACAACUCCAAUGGUGGCACUUCAUCCCAAAUCUCUCUAUGGGAUGCCCUUUCCAGCAACCAUGUCCUCAAAUACAGGUCACAAAUGAAGCCAGGCUUACCGUCUGGGGAGCACAUUGUGGCUCUCUCAAAAUACAUGCCAAUUGGUCCCGCAGAGAACGUUCACUCCACAUCAACAAGUUAGAACUAUUAGCAGUAAUAAAGGCAUUCAGAAACGUUCUAGCUGGCAAGGUGGUCCAGAUUGCCACCGACAACACCACAGCCAUGUACUGUAUUCUCACACAAGGAGGCGCACACUCCCCAAGCCUCCUCUGUUUGGCAGUCGACCUAUGGGAAUGGUGCCUCUCGCACCAUAUAUGCCUCACAGCUUUGCACAUGGCAGGCCAGGACAACAACCUAGCCAACUCUCUCAGCCGCACAAACUCACAACCCCACGAGUGGGAAUUAGAUCAAACAGUUUUCCUCCACCUAUGCAAAAGAUGGGGAAAACUGACUCUAGACCUUUUUGCCUCCCACAAGAAUCGGAGAUGCAAGUGCUGUUGCUCCCGUGCUGGGAUUGGCAAACACUCCCGAGGAGAUGCGUUUGUUGGCCACUGGCCCCAGACCCUCACAUAUCUCUUCCCACCAUUCCCAUUCCUCGACAGGGUAAUUGUCCAAAUACAACAGGACAAACCCAACACCAUCCUCAUUGCUCCUUGGUGGCCGAGACAGCCCUGGUUUGCAGUGCUACACCACCUGUCCUCCGAUGUUUAUCACCUUCCCCACCUACCACAUCUCCUGACGCAGAACAAUUCCUAG
Molecule: long non-coding RNA, 1110 nt
Filed under: Pogona vitticeps (central bearded dragon)
Lineage: Eukaryota; Metazoa; Chordata; Lepidosauria; Squamata; Agamidae
Description: lncRNA (ENSPVIG00000014997.1)
Source: RNAcentral